GAUGAACGCUGGCGGCGUGCCUAAUACAUGCAAGUCGAGCGAACAGAUGAGGAGCUUGCUCCUCUGACGUUAGCGGCGGACGGGUGAGUAACACGUGGAUAACCUACCUAUAAGACUGGGAUAACUUCGGGAAACCGGAGCUAAUACCGGAUAAUAUAUUGAACUGCAUGGUUCAAUAGUGAAAGACGGUUUUGCUGUCACUUAUAGAUGGAUCCGCGCCGCAUUAGCUAGUUGGUAAGGUAACGGCUUACCAAGGCAACGAUGCGUAGCCGACCUGAGAGGGUGAUCGGCCACACUGGAACUGAGACACGGUCCAGACUCCUACGGGAGGCAGCAGUAGGGAAUCCUGCGCAAUGGGCGAAAGCCUGACGGAGCAACGCCGCGUGAGUGAUGAAGGUCUUCGGAUCGUAAAACUCUGUUAUUAGGGAAGAACAAAUGUGUAAGUAACUAUGCACGUCUUGACGGUACCUAAUCAGAAAGCCACGGCUAACUACGU
Molecule: ribosomal RNA, 496 nt
Filed under: uncultured bacterium
Lineage: Bacteria
Description: partial 16S ribosomal RNA
Rfam family: Bacterial small subunit ribosomal RNA
Source: RNAcentral